Molecule: ribosomal RNA, 292 nt
Filed under: uncultured bacterium
Lineage: Bacteria
Description: partial 16S ribosomal RNA
Rfam family: Bacterial small subunit ribosomal RNA
Source: RNAcentral
GUGUCAGCCGCCGCGGUAAUACGAAGGGUGCAAACGUUGCUCGGAAUCAUUGGGCGUAAAGCGCACGUAGGCGGCUUCGCAAGUCGGAUGUGAAAUCCCUCGGCUCAACCGAGGACGUGCAUCCGAAACUGCAAAGCUUGAGUACAGAAGAGGAUCGCGGAAUUCCCGGUGUAGAGGUGAAAUUCGUAGAUAUCGGGAGGAACACCAGUGGCGAAGGCGGCGAUCUGGGCUGAUACUGACGCUGAGGUGCGAAAGCGUGGGGAGCAAACAGGAUUAGAUACCCCUGUAGUCC